RNAcentral lists this ribosomal RNA (497 nucleotides) under uncultured bacterium. RNAcentral describes it as "partial 16S ribosomal RNA". It matches the Rfam family "Bacterial small subunit ribosomal RNA", at positions 28 to 507 of the family's 1533-position model. The record is from RNAcentral.
GAUGAACGCUGGCGGCGUGCCUAAUACAUGCGAGUCGAGCGAACGGACGAGAAGCUUGCUUCUCUGAUGUUAGCGGCGGACGGGUGAGUAACACGUGGAUAACCUACCUAUAAGACUGGGAUAACUUCGGGAAACCGGAGCUAAUACCGGAUGAUAUUUUGAACCGCAUGGUUCAAAAGUGAAAGACGGUCUUGCUGUCACUUAUAGAUGGAUCCGCGCUGCAUUAGCUAGUUGGUAAGGUAACGGCUUACCAAGGCAACGAUGCAUAGCCGACCUGAGAGGGGGAUCGGCGACACUGGAACUGAGACACGGUCCAGACUCCUACGGGAGGCAGCAGUAGGGAAUCUUCCGCAAUGGGCGAAAGCCUGACGGAGCAACGCCGCGUGAGUGAUGAAGGUCUUCGGAUCGUAAAACUCUGUUAUUAGGGAAGAACAUAUGUGUAAGUAACUGUGCACAUCUUGACGGUACCUAAUCAGAAAGCCACGGCUAACUACGUG